Molecule: non-coding RNA, 73 nt
Organism: Trichonephila inaurata madagascariensis
Lineage: Eukaryota; Metazoa; Arthropoda; Arachnida; Araneae; Nephilidae
Source: the annotation of a GenBank genome assembly
GCCCCUGUAGCGCAAUCAAUAGCGCGUUGGAUUCCUAAUCCCAAGGUCGUGGGGUCGAAUUCCACCUGGGAUG